GACGAACGCUGGCGGCGUGCUUAACACAUGCAAGUCGAACGGAAAGGCCCUGCUUUCUUGGGGUGCCCGAGUGGCGAACGGGUGCGUAACACGAGUGUAACCUGCUCUUGACUUUGGGAUAACUUCAGGAAACUGGGGCUAAUACCGGAUCGCAGACCCCCCUCCAUGGUGGGCGUUGGAAAGUCUCGGCGGUUGGGGAUGGACUAGCGGCUUAUCAGCUAGCUGGUUGGGUAGUGGCUUACCAAGGCAUUGACGGGUAGGCGGCCUGAGAGGGUGACCGGCCACAUUGGGACUGAGAGACGGCGCAGACUCCUACGGGAGACAGCAGGGGGGAGUAUUGCACAAUGAGAGGAAGCCUGAUGCAGCGACGCCGCGUGCGGGAUGACGGCCUGCGGGUUGUAAACCGCUUUCGCCUGUGACGAAGCGUGAGUGACGGUAAUGAGUAAAGAAGCACCGGCUAACUACGUG
RNAcentral lists this ribosomal RNA (468 nucleotides) under uncultured bacterium. RNAcentral's name for it is "partial 16S ribosomal RNA". It matches the Rfam family "Bacterial small subunit ribosomal RNA", at positions 28 to 507 of the family's 1533-position model. The record is from RNAcentral.